CCUACGGGAGGCAGCAGUGGGGGAUAUUGCACAAUGGGGGAAACCCUGAUGCAGCGACGCCGCGUGGGUGAAGAAGCGCCUCGGCGCGUAAAGCCCUGUCAGCAGGGAAGAAAAUGACGGUACCUGAAGAAGAAGCCCCGGCUAACUACGUGCCAGCAGCCGCGGUAAUACGCAGGUGGCAAGCGUUAUCCGGAUUUACUGGGUGUAAAGGGGGCGCAGACGGCGAUGCAAGCCAGGAGUGAAAGUCCGGGGCCCAACCCCGGGACUGCUCUUGGAACUGCGUGGCUAGAGUGCAGGAGGGGCAGGCGGAAUUCCUGGUGUAGCGGUGAAAUGCGUAGAUAUCAGGAGGAACACCGGUGGCGAAGGCGGCCUGCUGGACUGCAACUGACGUUGAGGCCCGAAAGCGUGGGGAGCAAACAGGAUUAGAUACCCGGGUAGUC
Molecule: ribosomal RNA, 440 nt
Filed under: uncultured bacterium
Lineage: Bacteria
Description: partial 16S ribosomal RNA
Rfam family: Bacterial small subunit ribosomal RNA
Source: RNAcentral